CCCUAUAGCAGUCAGAAAUCAGAGCCUUCUAAGUCCCAGGUUAAGUUCUUGAGAAAGGAUGGGUAUUGGAGACCCCUUAGAUGGCAGCUCACUCAGUGCCAGUAAGCCAGCCACUCAGUGCGGUUACCCAAGCUUGGCCUCCCGCUCCCCAGCUUCUGCCCCUUUGGGGAACCCACCCUUCCCCAUCCUAGGUACCUUCAGUUAUUUCCUUCCCCACUCCAGACUGAGGCCUUUACGAGCCCAGAUAGUCCGGGGGCCCCAAGCACUUACCCUCCAGUUCCCUCCACUCCCAGUCACCUCCGAGGGCUGAGUGAGUAGGGGCAGGAAACAGGAAUCAGAUCCUCCUCCCAACCGGACACCACCACCCCCAACCACACCAAGCUCCACAUGCGCACACCGGGCCUAGAGGAUGUGAGGAAUCUGGCGUCCAAGGUGUUGGAGAUUAAAAAGCCUGGAACUCAGGAAACUGAGCUUGCAGGGCUGGGAGCAUGUCGUAAAAACAACUGAACGGGGUGGAGUGAACCCUACCCAAGCCUGAGAGGGAGGCUGCUGGGAGUUGCAGGGGCAGGUCCCUGUCAGAUGUCACUCCACAGGAACACAUCCAGAUACUGGGAAGAAAAUCAGGUAAGUUUGUAUUCAAAGAUGGUUUAAACCCCUUCUUGCUGAACGCCAAAAGCCUAAAGUCUAAGAGACUACACAAUCUACCCUAUUUCCCAGCUUCUCCUUUCAGACUGAUUCCUACCUUAGGAUCUUUGGAGUUCUGCCUAAAGCCUGAAAAUCUUCCCAAGAAAUCUCCAUGAAGCAUUCCUGCACGUCCUCCGGGCAGCUGGAAGAAACUUUCUCAAAGAGGCCUGUUCUGGCUACUUUAAAAUUUCAGUCCACUGGGCUACCUGGUCAGGCCUCGUCUCAAAAAAGAAAGGAAAGAAGGAAGGAAGGAAGGAAGGAAGGAAGGAAGGAAGGAAGGAAGGAAGGAAGGGAAGGAGGGUAUGAGCUAGCAGCAGAGCUCAUUAAGUGGUCUGUGAGGAAACUAAGGAGGCUGAAGGCUCAGUGGUUAGGAACACUUCCAAACAGACUUCCCACAGACACCAUCUUCUAGCCUCCAAGGGCACCAGCAUGCAUAGCGUGCACACACACACACACACACACACACACACACACACAGAGGCACAUAAAUGAAAGUAAUCAUUAACGAAGAAGAAAGUAAGGCCUGAGAGAUGGCUCAGCAGUUAAAAGCACUUCUGCUUUUCCAGAAGACUCAAGUCCAGUUCUCAGCACCCACACUGUGCAGCUUACAACUGCCUGUCACUCCAGCUGCUGGGGAAUCUAACACCUCUGGCUUUCCUGGGCAUCUGUGCACACAAGCACAUAUCCAUAUAAAAGCAAGCACACACCCACGUGCUCAUACACCCAAAUAAUUUUUAUAUUGUUAAAUAUAAAAUAAACCUUUCUAAAAAAGAAUUUAAGGGGGCUGGGGAUUUAGCUCAGUGGUAGAGUGCUUACCUAGGAAGCGCAAGGCCCUGGGUUCGGUCCCCAGCUCCGAAAAAAAGAACCAAAAAAAAAAAAAAAAAAAAAGAAUUUAAGGAGGAGCCGAUCAUAGUAGUGCACACCUUGAAUCCCAGCACUUGGGAGGCAGAGGCAGGUGGAUCUCUGUGAGUUUGAGGCCAGCCUGGUCUACAGAGCAAAUUCCAGGAUAGCCAGAGACUCUGUCUAUAGACAAACAAACAAAUAGAAAAAGAAAGUAAGAAG
Rattus norvegicus (Norway rat) is the source of this 1746-nucleotide non-coding RNA. The record is from RefSeq and is a predicted model, not a curated record. Lineage: Eukaryota; Metazoa; Chordata; Mammalia; Rodentia; Muridae.